This 468-nucleotide ribosomal RNA is filed under the name uncultured bacterium. Its description in RNAcentral is "partial 16S ribosomal RNA". It matches the Rfam family "Bacterial small subunit ribosomal RNA", at positions 28 to 507 of the family's 1533-position model. The record is from RNAcentral.
GAUGAACGCUGGCGGCGUGCCUAACACAUGCAAGUCGAACGGAAAGGCCCUGCUCUUGCGGGGUGCUUGUGUGGCGCACGGGUGAGUAACACAUGUGUAACCCCCCCCUGACAUUCGGAUAACUUCAGGAAACUGGGGCUAUUAUCGGAUAGGAGCUUUUGCUGCACGGUGGGGGAUGGAAAGUUUCGGCGGUUUGGGAUGGACUCGCUGCUUAUCAGCUUGUUGGUGGGGUAGUGGCUUACCAAGGCUGUGACGGGUAGCCGGCCUGAGAGGGUGACCGGCCACAUUGGGACUGAGGGACGGACCAGACUCGUACGGGAGGCAACGGUGGGGAAUAUUGCACAGUGGGGCGAAGCCUGAUACGACGGCGCCGCGUGCGGAAUGACGUCCUUCGAGUUAUGAACCGCUUUCGCCUGUGACGAGGCGUGAGUGACGGUAAUGAGUAAAGAAGCACCGGCUAACUACGUG